CCAUUGCUAUCGGAGUCCGAUUUAGCCAUGCUAGUUGUGCGGGUUUAGACCCGCAGCGGAAAGCUCAGUAACACGUGGCCAAACUACCCUGUGGAUGGGAACAAUCUCGGGAAACUGAGGCUAAUUCCCAAUAACGCUCCACCCCUGGAACGGGCGGAGCUGGAAACGCUACGGCGCCACAGGAUGUGGCUGCGGUCGAUUAGGUAGACGGUGGGGUAACGGCCCACCGUGCCAAUAAUCGGUACGGGUUGUGAGAGCAAGAGCCCGGAGACGGAAUCUGAGACAAGAUUCCGGGCCCUACGGGGCGCAGCAGGCGCGAAACCUUUACACUGUACGCAAGUGCGAUAAGGGGACUCCGAGUGUGAAGGCAUAGAGCCUUCACUUUUGUACACCGUAAGGUGGUGUACGAAUAAGGGCUGGGCAAGACCGGUGCCAGCCGCCGCGGUAAUACCGGCAGCCCGAGUGAUGGCCGAUAUUAUUGGGCCUAAAGCGUCCGUAGCUGGCCGGACAAGUCCGUUGGGAAAUCUGUUCGCUUAACGAGCAGGCGUCCAGCGGAAACUGUUCGGCUUGGGACCGGAAGACCUGAGGGGUACGUCCGGGGUAGGAGUGAAAUCCUGUAAUCCUGGACGGACCACCGGUGGCGAAAGCGCCUCAGGAGGACGGAUCCGACAGUGAGGGACGAAAGCUAGGGUCUCGAACCGGAUUAGAUACCCGGGUAGUCCUAGCUGUAAACGAUGCCCGCUAGGUGUGGCGCAGGCUACGAGCCUGCGCUGUGCCGUAGGGAAGCCGAGAAGCGGGCCGCCUGGGAAGUACGUCUGCAAGGAUGAAACU
RNAcentral lists this ribosomal RNA (831 nucleotides) under Halobacterium sp. BAB-4204. RNAcentral's name for it is "bacterial SSU rRNA". It matches the Rfam family "Archaeal small subunit ribosomal RNA", at positions 24 to 856 of the family's 1478-position model. The record is from RNAcentral. Lineage: Archaea; Methanobacteriati; Methanobacteriota; Halobacteria; Halobacteriales; Halobacteriaceae.